RNAcentral lists this ribosomal RNA (497 nucleotides) under uncultured bacterium. Its description in RNAcentral is "partial 16S ribosomal RNA". It matches the Rfam family "Bacterial small subunit ribosomal RNA", at positions 28 to 507 of the family's 1533-position model. The record is from RNAcentral.
GAUGAACGCUGGCGGCGUGCCUAAUAAAUGCAAGUCGAGCGAACAGAUGAGGAGCUUGCUCCUCUGACGUUAGCGGCGGACGGGUGAGUAACACGUGGAUAACCUACCUAUAAGACUGGGAUAACUUCGGGAAACCGGAGCUAAUACCGGAUAAUAUAUUGAACCGCAUGGUUCAAUAGUGAAAGACGGUUUUGCUGUCACUUAUAGAUGGAUCCGCGCCGCAUUAGCUAGUUGGUAAGGUAACGGCUUACCAAGGCAACGAUGCGUAGCCGACCUGAGAGGGUGAUCGGCCACACUGGAACUGAGACACGGUCCAGACUCCUACGGGAGGCAGCAGUAGGGAAUCUUCCGCAAUGGGCGAAAGCCUGACGGAGCAACGCCGCGUGAGUGAUGAAGGUCUUCGGAUCGUAAAACUCUGUUAUUAGGGAAGAACAAAUGUGUAAGUAACUAUGCACGUCUUGACGGUACCUAAUCAGAAAGCCACGGCUAACUACGUG